RNAcentral lists this transfer RNA (84 nucleotides) under Saprospira grandis. Its description in RNAcentral is "tRNA-Leu". It matches the Rfam family "tRNA". From Rfam's summary of the family: Transfer RNA (tRNA) molecules are approximately 80 nucleotides in length. RNAcentral also lists the same sequence under 2 other names. Lineage: Bacteria; Pseudomonadati; Bacteroidota; Saprospiria; Saprospirales; Saprospiraceae. The record is from RNAcentral.
GCCUUGGUGGCGAAAUUGGUAGACGCGCUGGAUUCAAAAUCCUGUGGUGGCGACACCGUGCGGGUUCGAGUCCCGCCCGAGGCA